AUGUGGAAGCGACGUCGCUCAACGGAUAAAAGGUACCUCGGGGAUAACAGGCUGAUCUUCCCCAAGAGUCCAUAUCGACGGGAUGGUUUGGCACCUCGAUGUCGGCUCGUCGCAUCCUGGGGCUGGAGUAGGUCCCAAGGGUUGGGCUGUUCGCCCAUUAAAGCGGUACGCGAGCUGGGUUCAGAACGUCGUGAGACAGUUCGGUCCCUAUCUGCCGUGG
Molecule: ribosomal RNA, 220 nt
Filed under: Ditylum brightwellii
Lineage: Eukaryota; Bacillariophyta; Thalassiosirophyceae; Lithodesmiales; Lithodesmiaceae
Description: partial Bacterial large subunit ribosomal RNA
Rfam family: Bacterial large subunit ribosomal RNA
Source: RNAcentral